GACAUGCAAGUGGUAGGAACCGAAAGGCGACCGACCCUUCGGGAGCUUGCACAGGUGCUGCAUGGCUGUCGUCAGCUCGUGUCGUGAGAUGUUCGGUUAAGUCCGCUAACGAGCGCAACCCUCGCUGUGUGUUACAAGUGUCACACGGUACUGCCGGUCUUAAGCCGGAGGAAGGUGGGGAUGGCGUCAAGUCAGCAUGGCCUUUAUGUCCUGGGCUACACACACGCUACAAUGGCCAACACAAUAGGUUGCUAAGCCGCGAGGUGGAGCCAAUCCUCAAAGUUGGUCUCAGUUCAGAUUGCAGGCUGCAACCCGCCCUGCAUGAAGAUGGAGUUGCUAGUAACCGCAGGUCAGCUAUACUGCGGUGAAUACGUUCCCGGGGCGUU
Molecule: ribosomal RNA, 386 nt
Filed under: uncultured Leptolinea sp.
Lineage: Bacteria; Bacillati; Chloroflexota; Anaerolineae; Anaerolineales; Anaerolineaceae
Description: bacterial SSU rRNA
Rfam family: Bacterial small subunit ribosomal RNA
Source: RNAcentral